UAACCUGGUUGAUCCUGCCAGUAUCGCAUUUCUCAGUUAAAAGAUUGAUCCAUGCAUGUGUCUGGCACUGCCUGUGCAAUGCCUGCGGACGGCUCAUUAAAACAGAGAUGACCUACUCUCAGAAACAGACGGAUAACUUUGCUAAUUGUGAGGCUAAUACGUGAGAUAAAGCUCCGGCUUGCCCCAAUUAUUCCUAAGCUCUGAACAUGACUGUUUAUUGGGUGAUUAGACCUUGUGUCUAUUGAGAAUGGGUCUCUGAUCUAUCAGCUGUUGACGGUUGUGUAUUGGACAACCGUGGCUAUGACGGAUAACGGGGAAUUAGGGUUCGGUUCCGGAGAGAACGCAUGAGAAACGGCGUUCACAGCUAAGGUUGGCAGCAGGAGCGAAAACUUUUCGAAUAAGCAAUGCUUGAAAAGGUGACUAUCCGUAUCAACAACUGCUAUUAGUAGUUGAUUGGAAUGGGAGACUUUUAGACCUAGUCUCGAGUAGCUAGUUCAGGGCAAGUCUGGUGCCAGCAGCCGCGGUAAUACCAGCUGAGCUAGAAAUGGGUAACAUUGUUGCAGUAAAAACGUACGUAGUCACCUUUGUUUUCGUGUCUCUUCCAAUCGGUCGAGGCAGAUGAACAACUCAUCUUGGCUUGUUCAAGAUGAUCUCCGCGAGUAAACUAGAACGAUUAACUUGAAUGUUGUAUAUGACAGCGUGGGAAACCUGAUGAUACCUAUCGGUUUUGUGCUUAUCUUAGCCAUAGGGAUAAACUGUAGGAAUGAAUGAGGACAUUAGUAUUUAGUAGCUAGAGGUGAAAUUCCUAGAUUUACUAACGACUAACUACUGCGAAAGCAUUUGUCUAAUUCAUUUUUGGUGAUCAAG
Molecule: ribosomal RNA, 867 nt
Filed under: uncultured eukaryote
Lineage: Eukaryota
Description: partial 18S small subunit ribosomal RNA
Rfam family: Eukaryotic small subunit ribosomal RNA
Source: RNAcentral